RNAcentral lists this ribosomal RNA (492 nucleotides) under uncultured bacterium. Its description in RNAcentral is "partial 16S ribosomal RNA". It matches the Rfam family "Bacterial small subunit ribosomal RNA", at positions 29 to 507 of the family's 1533-position model. The record is from RNAcentral.
AGUGAACGCUGGCGGUAGGCCUAACACAUGCAAGUCGAACGGCAGCACAGUAAGAGCUUGCUCUUACGGGUGGCGAGUGGCGGACGGGUGAGGAAUACAUCGGAAUCUACUUUUUCGUGGGGGAUAACGUAGGGAAACUUACGCUAAUACCGCAUACGACCUACGGGUGAAAGCAGGGGAUCUUCGGACCUUGCGCGAUUGAAUGAGCCGAUGUCGGAUUAGCUAGUUGGCGGGGUAAAGGCCCACCAAGGCGACGAUCCGUAGCUGGUCUGAGAGGAGGACCAGCCACACUGGAACUGAGACACGGCCCAGACUCCUACGGGAGGCAGCAGUGGGGAAUUUUGGACAAGGGGCGAAAGCCUGAUCCAGCCAUGCCGCGUGGGUAAAGAAGGCCUUCGGGUUGUAAAGCCUUUUUGUGGGGAAAGAAAAGCAUGGCUUUAAUACCGUGGUGUUCUGACGGUACCAAAAGAAUAAGCACCGGCUAACUUCGUG